CCACCCAAGCACUAGCACCAACAAAGACAGACAAUCCCAAAAGAACCCGCAUGAAUACAAGCAAAGUCUUACACUUCCACAGAAUACUUUGCAAAUCAUUCAAAUGGAAAUAAAGCUGAAAUAUUAGAAUUUAACAAAUGCAUCAGGUUAAUUGUGAUUUGUAAUAUAGAUGGAAUGGCCGGCAAAUUGUGGAUGGAUGCAGUAACACAUGUACAACUAUUUUAUAACCACAUUGGAACAAUACAUGAAGUAAGAGGAAAUUAACACACCCUUGGUAGGUAAGCUGCUGUAA
This 292-nucleotide unclassified non-coding RNA is filed under the name Hevea brasiliensis (rubber tree). Lineage: Eukaryota; Viridiplantae; Streptophyta; Magnoliopsida; Malpighiales; Euphorbiaceae. The record is from RNAcentral.